AGGGUUUGAUCCUGGCUCAGAUUGAACGCUGGCGGCAGGCCUAACACAUGCAAGUCGAGCGGUAACACAGGGAGCUUGCUCCUGGGUGACGAGCGGCGGACGGGUGAGUAAUGUCUGGGAAACUGCCUGAUGGAGGGGGAUAACUACUGGAAACGGUAGCUAAUACCGCAUAACGUCUUCGGACCAAAGUGGGGGACCUUCGGGCCUCAUGCCAUCAGAUGUGCCCAGAUGGGAUUAGCUAGUAGGUGGGGUAAUGGCUCACCUAGGCGACGAUCCCUAGCUGGUCUGAGAGGAUGACCAGCCACACUGGAACUGAGACACGGUCCAGACUCCUACGGGAGGCAGCAGUGGGGAAUAUUGCACAAUGGGCGCAAGCCUGAUGCAGCCAUGCCGCGUGUAUGAAGAAGGCCUUCGGGUUGUAAAGUACUUUCAGCGAGGAGGAAGGCAUUAAGGUUAAUAACCUUAGUGAUUGACGUUACUCGCAGAAGAAGCACCGGCUAACUCCGUGCCAGCAGCCGCGGUAAUACGGAGGGUGCAAGCGUUAAUCGGAAUUACUGGGCGUAAAGCGCACGCAGGCGGUCUGUCAAGUCGGAUGUGAAAUCCCCGGGCUCAACCUGGGAACUGCAUUCGAAACUGACAGGCUAGAGUCUUGUAGAGGGGGGUAGAAUUCCAGGUGUAGCGGUGAAAUGCGUAGAGAUCUGGAGGAAUACCGGUGGCGAAGGCGGCCCCCUGGACAAAGACUGACGCUCAGGUGCGAAAGCGUGGGGGAGCAAACAGGAUUAGAUACCCUGUAGUCCACGCCGUAAACGAUGUCUAUUUGGAGGUUGUGUCCUUGAGACGUGGCUUCCGGAGCUAACGCGUUAAAUAGACCGCCUGGGGAGUACGGCCG
RNAcentral lists this ribosomal RNA (889 nucleotides) under uncultured Gammaproteobacteria bacterium. RNAcentral describes it as "bacterial SSU rRNA". It matches the Rfam family "Bacterial small subunit ribosomal RNA", at positions 8 to 888 of the family's 1533-position model. The record is from RNAcentral. Lineage: Bacteria; Pseudomonadati; Pseudomonadota; Gammaproteobacteria.